Molecule: long non-coding RNA, 237 nt
Organism: Rhagoletis zephyria (snowberry fruit fly)
Lineage: Eukaryota; Metazoa; Arthropoda; Insecta; Diptera; Tephritidae
Source: RefSeq, a predicted model, not a curated record
GUUUUGCAUAUUUACAAGUUUGGAUCGUCUGUGUGUCCGUCCACAUCCGCUGGUGCAGCGAUUUUUAAUAUUGCAGCCUUUUGCCUAUUUACAAGUCCGGAUAGUCUGUGUGUCCGUCCAUAUUCGCUGGUGCAGCGAUUUUUACAUACUUCCAGGAUUCUAAUCUGAUCGCAGGUACAACUUUUUCCUUACCGCAAGCUCAACAUCAUCGUAGCGCAGCCCACUUUUAGCGCAAGG